RNAcentral lists this ribosomal RNA (444 nucleotides) under uncultured bacterium. RNAcentral describes it as "bacterial SSU rRNA". It matches the Rfam family "Bacterial small subunit ribosomal RNA", at positions 331 to 792 of the family's 1533-position model. The record is from RNAcentral.
CCAGACUCCUACGGGAGGCAGCAGUGGGGAAUAUUGCACAAUGGGGGGAACCCUGAUGCAGCGACGCCGCGUGGGUGAAGGAGCACCCCGGUGCGUAAAGCCCUAUCGGCAGGGAAGAAACAGACGGUACCUGACUAAGAAGCCCCGGCUAACUACGUGCCAGCAGCCGCGGUAAUACGUAGGGGGCAAGCGUUAUCCGGAUUCACUGGGUGUAAAGGGAGCGUAGACGGCGACGCAAGUCUGGAGUGAAAGCCCGGGGCCCAACCCCGGGACUGCUCUGGAAACUGCGUCGCUGGAGUACGGGAGGGGCAGGCGGAAUUCCUGGUGUAGCGGUGAAAUGCGUAGAUAUCAGGAGGAACACCGGCGGCGAAGGCGGCCUGCUGGACCGUGACUGACGUUGAGGCUCGAGAGCGUGGGGAGCAAACAGGAUUAGAUACCCGCGUA